UACGAAGGGGGCCAGCGUUGUUCGGAAUUACUGGGCGUAAAGAGCGCGUAGGCGGCUUACCAAGUUGGGGGUGAAAUCCCGGAGCUCAACUCCGGAACUGCCUUCAAAACUGGUAGGCUCGAGUCCGGAAGAGGGGCGUGGAAUUCCCAGUGUAGAGGUGAAAUUCGUAGAUAUUGGGAAGAACACCGGUGGCGAAGGCGGCGCCCUGGUCCGGUACUGACGCUGAGGCGCGAAAGCGUGGGGAGCAAACAGG
Molecule: ribosomal RNA, 253 nt
Filed under: uncultured bacterium
Lineage: Bacteria
Description: partial 16S ribosomal RNA
Rfam family: Bacterial small subunit ribosomal RNA
Source: RNAcentral